Molecule: long non-coding RNA, 1041 nt
Filed under: Vulpes vulpes (red fox)
Lineage: Eukaryota; Metazoa; Chordata; Mammalia; Carnivora; Canidae
Description: lncRNA (ENSVVUG00000024878.1)
Source: RNAcentral
AGUGGCCUGCUCAGUGAGCUUCCAAGUAGACGAUGGGAUUCCCACAAGGCAGAAACAUAGUGAUGCGAAUGAGGCAGCAUCUAGAAGGCUUGUCUGUGGCUGGGGUUCACUGGCAGAGCUCAGGCCCUCGGAGAGGAGCGGGCAAGAAUGACAAAAUUACUCUUCCAGACCCAUGACCCAGGCACAGAGUAUAGAUCACCUGCUAAUAUUUGCCUUCUCACCAUGGAAGGAAGCCACUACUGCCUGGUUUCACCUGAGGGCUUACCGGUGUCCAAAGGACCAAUUCCAAAGGCUUGGAAGAUGCCCCCACUCCAUCCCAGGCCCCAAGCUAGCUACUUCUUCAGAGCAUGUUUCAUUCCUUCCAUGAGAAUUCAGGUUGCCAUUUGGAACCCGAGGAGGAGGGUGGAGGGUGGGGAGAUGCUGGCGUGCAUGACCACUGGUGACAAGUCAUGGAGGUGAUGGUGGCAGUGACAGUGCUGGGGGCUAUCAGUGGAAGAAGAAGAGGGGAAAGUGGCCUUUAUGUUUCUUGAGAGAGAGUCAAUAUAUUCUGAGCAGCACCUACUCCACCCUCUCUACGUGUUUAGCUUCUCUCUAUGGUUCCGAACAAAUGGUCAAGUCAUGCAAGUGCCGCCAUCACUGUUUUGACAUAUUCAAGUCUUCCCUGAACUAUUGUUUGCUCCUUUCAAUCACUCACCUUUCAAAUUCAAGGAAUAUUAUUUUAAGAUUUUUAUUUAUCACUAUUAAUGGGAAAUUGAUUUUUUUAAUUUUUAUUUAUUUAUGAUAGUCACAGAGAGAGAGAGAGAGAGGCAGAGACACAGGCAGAGGGAGAAGCAGGCUCCAUGCACCGGGAGCCUGACGUGGGAUUCGAUCCCAGGUCUUCAGGAUCAUACCCUGGGCCAAAGGCAGGCGCCAAACCACUGCGCCACCCAGGGAUCCCAGGAAAUUGAUUUUUAAAAGGAAACCCAACUGUUCAUUUUUACAAAUGAAAAGAAUAUAUCAUUUGUCGUAAAUUAAAAAUGUUAGCAGAAUUGAAAACUGCAA